RNAcentral lists this ribosomal RNA (438 nucleotides) under uncultured bacterium. RNAcentral's name for it is "bacterial SSU rRNA". It matches the Rfam family "Bacterial small subunit ribosomal RNA", at positions 341 to 797 of the family's 1533-position model. The record is from RNAcentral.
ACGGAGGCAGCAGUAAGGAAUUUUCCACAAUGGGCGAAAGCCUGAUGGAGCAACGCCGCGUGGAGGAUGACGGCCUUCGGGUUGUAAACUCCUUUUAAAUGGGAAGAUUAUGACGGUACCAUUUGAAUAAGCAUCGGCUAACUACGUGCCAGCAGCCGCGGUAAUACGUAGGAUGCAAGCGUUAUCCGGAAUUACUGGGCGUAAAGCGUCUGUAGGUGGUUUGUUAAGUUGAAUGUUAAAUUUAUGGGCUCAACUCAUAAACUGCAUUCAAUACUGGCAGACUUGAGGAAGGAAGAGGUAAGCGGAAUUACAGGUGGAGCGGUGAAAUGCGUAGAUAUCUGUAGGAACACCAAUGGCGAAGGCAGCUUACUGGGCCUCUCCUGACACUGAGAGACGAAAGCGUGGGGAGCGAACGGAAUUAGAUACCCGCGUAGUCCG